This 70-nucleotide transfer RNA is filed under the name human gut metagenome. It matches the Rfam family "tRNA". From Rfam's summary of the family: Transfer RNA (tRNA) molecules are approximately 80 nucleotides in length. Their secondary structure includes four short double-helical elements and three loops (D, anti-codon, and T loops). Further hydrogen bonds mediate the characteristic L-shaped molecular structure. tRNAs have two regions of fundamental functional importance: the anti-codon, which is responsible for specific mRNA codon recognition, and the 3' end, to which the tRNAs corresponding amino acid is attached (by aminoacyl-tRNA synthetases). tRNAs cope with the degeneracy of the genetic code in two manners: having more than one tRNA (with a specific anti-codon) for a particular amino acid; and 'wobble' base-pairing, i.e. permitting non-standard base-pairing at the 3rd anti-codon position. The record is from RNAcentral. RNAcentral also lists the same sequence under 1 other name.
GCGAGAUAGCUCAGUAGGUAGAGCAAACGGCUCAUAUCCGUUCGGUCGAGGGUUCAAAUCCCCCUCUCGC